RNAcentral lists this ribosomal RNA (254 nucleotides) under uncultured bacterium. RNAcentral describes it as "partial 16S ribosomal RNA". It matches the Rfam family "Bacterial small subunit ribosomal RNA", at positions 524 to 776 of the family's 1533-position model. The record is from RNAcentral.
GACGAACCGUGCGAACGUUAUUCGGAAUCACUGGGCUUAAAGCGCGUGUAGGCGGAUGGGUGCGUCGGACCUUGAAAGCCCCCGGCUCAACCGGGGAAGGGGGGCCGAAACGACCCGUCUGGAGGGACGUAGGGGGAUCUGGAACUUCCGGUGGAGCGGUGAAAUGCGUUGAGAUCGGAAGGAACGCCCGUGGCGAAAGCGAGAUCCUGGACGUUUACUGACGCUGAGACGCGAAAGCUAGGGGAGCGAACGGG